UAUGCACGCUGGCGGCGUGCCUAAUACAUGCAAGUCGAGCGAACAGACGAGGAGCUUGCUCCUCUGACGUUAGCGGCGGACGGGUGAGUAACACGUGGAUAACCUACCUAUAAGACUGGGAUAACUUCGGGAAACCGGAGCUAAUACCGGAUAAUAUAUUGAACCGCAUGGUUCAAUAGUGAAAGACGGUUUUGCUGUCACUUAUAGAUGGAUCCGCGCCGCAUUAGCUAGUUGGUAAGGUAACGGCUUACCAAGGCGACGAUGCGUAGCCGACCUGAGAGGGUGAUCGGCCACACUGGAACUGAGACACGGUCCAGACUCCUACGGGAGGCAGCAGUAGGGAAUCUUCCGCAAUGGGCGAAAGCCUGACGGAGCAACGCCGCGUGAGUGAUGAAGGUCUUCGGAUCGUAAAACUCUGUUAUUAUGGAAGAACAAAUGUGUAAGUAACUAUGCACGUCUUGACGGUACCUAAUCAGAAAGCCACGGCUAACUACGUG
RNAcentral lists this ribosomal RNA (497 nucleotides) under uncultured bacterium. RNAcentral describes it as "partial 16S ribosomal RNA". It matches the Rfam family "Bacterial small subunit ribosomal RNA", at positions 29 to 507 of the family's 1533-position model. The record is from RNAcentral.